GGGUUUGGGGCAGGUUAAGGCUCCUCUAACAUACACCUAAACACUUUCCCUUUCAAUACAAACAUAUGCGUCUAAUAUUAGAAAAAACACUAAAUAUAUUGCAAGUGGCUAUUGUCUUUCUCUUAAGGUAAAUCAUUUUCUACUUAAACAAAACAAAAAUUUAUCUCGUUUCAAACAUUUUUUUAAACACUCCCUUUUACUACAAACAUAUAUCCCUGUCUUAAAUUAAAAAAACAACACUAAAUAUAUUGCAAGUGGCUAUUGUUUUUCUCUUAAGGUAAAUCAUUUUCUACUUAAACAAAACAAAAAAAAAUUAUCUCGCUUCAAACAUUUUUUUAAACACUUUCCCUUUUACUACAAACAUAUAUCGCUGUCUUAAAUUAAAAAAAAAACACUAAAUAUAUUGCAAGUGGGUAUUGUCUUUCUCUUAAGUUAAAUAAUUUUCUACUUAAACAAAACAAAACAAAAAUAUCCGCUUCAAACAUUUUUUAAACACUUUUCCUUUCACUACAAACACAUACAUCUGUCUUAUAUUAGAAAACACACUAAAUAUAUUGCAAGUAGUUUUUUUUUUCCUUUCUCUUAAGUUAAAUAAUUUUCUACUUAACAAUUUUUUUCUCGCUUCAAACAAACAUUUUUUAAACACUUUCCCUUUCACUACAAACACCUAUCUCUGUCUUAAAUUAGAAAACACACUAAAUAUAUUACAAGUGUUUAUUUAUUUUUAUUUUUUGUCUCAAGUUCAAUCAUUUUCUACUUCAACUUUUUUUUUUUCGCUUCAAACAAACAUUUUUUUUCGAGUUAACAAAUACUAAAUACUAUAUUGCAAAUGUUUUAUUUUUAUUUUUUUAUUCCUCUUCAGUUAAAUAAUUUUCUACUUCAACUUUUUUUCACUUCAAACAAACAUUUUUUCAAGUUAACAAAUACUAAAUAUAUUGCAAAUGUUUUUUCUUCCUCUUAAGUUAAAUCAUUUGCUUCUUAAACACUUCUUUCAUUUCAAUCAUAUUUUUUUUUAUAAGUUAACAAACAUUCAAAAGAGAUUACAGACUUUCAUUAAUUCCUUUAGUUCUACACCCGUUCUUCCAUUAAAAAAAAUAUAUAUUCAUCUGCUGUAACAAGUAAACAACUAUUAUAAUAUUGGUAAUGUUAUUUUCUUUUUAACUUUUCUUUCAUUACAUUUUU
Molecule: long non-coding RNA, 1182 nt
Organism: Eriocheir sinensis (Chinese mitten crab)
Lineage: Eukaryota; Metazoa; Arthropoda; Malacostraca; Decapoda; Varunidae
Exons: 2
Source: RefSeq, a predicted model, not a curated record